CCUACGGGAGGCUGCAGUGGGGAAUAUUGCGCAAUGGGCGGAAGCCUGACGCAGCGACGCCGCGUGGGGGAUGAAGGCCUUCGGGUUGUAAACCUCUUUCACCAUCGACGAAGCUUGCCGGUGACGGUGGGUGACGGUAGGUGGGGAAGAAGCGCCGGCUAACUACGUGCCAGCAGCCGCGGUAAUACGUAGGGCGCGAGCGUUGUCCGGAUUUAUUGGGCGUAAAGAGCUCGUAGGUGGUUCGUUGCGUCUGCCGUGAAAGCCCAUGGCUUAACUGUGGGUCUGCGGUGGAUACGGGCGGACUUGAGGCAGGUAGGGGAGAAUGGAAUUCCCGGUGUAGCGGUGAAAUGCGCAGAUAUCGGGAGGAACACCGGUGGCGAAGGCGGUUCUCUGGGCCUGUUCUGACACUGAGGAGCGAAAGCGUGGGGAGCGAACAGGAU
This 440-nucleotide ribosomal RNA is filed under the name uncultured bacterium. RNAcentral describes it as "bacterial SSU rRNA". It matches the Rfam family "Bacterial small subunit ribosomal RNA", at positions 338 to 778 of the family's 1533-position model. The record is from RNAcentral.